UAAAAGGGCCUUUGCUGUCACUAGCACUUCAUGAGCUAUCAUGGAGCAGAAUCAUAAUCAAGAGAUUUUGGAUGCAGAAUUGUUGCAAUUCAAGAUAAUUUUGGAGCAACUUAAACUGCUAUUAGUUUUGCUCAUAUUGCCUGG
Small nuclear RNA from Haliotis rubra (blacklip abalone), 144 nucleotides. RefSeq annotates it as U11 spliceosomal RNA. NCBI's taxonomy places the organism in Eukaryota, Metazoa, Mollusca, Gastropoda, Lepetellida, Haliotidae. The record is from RefSeq and is a predicted model, not a curated record. The transcript has a single exon.